GACGAACGCUGGCGGCGUGCCUAACACAUGCAAGUCGAACGGAACGGCCCUGCUUUUGUGGGGUGGUCGAGUGGCGAACGGGUGAGUAACACGUGAGUACCCUGCCCCUGCCUUUGGGAUAUCUUCAGGCAACUGGGGCUAUUACCGGCUAGGAGCUCCUGCUGCAUGGUGGGGGUUGGAAAGUUUCGACGGUUGGGGGUGGACUCGCGGCUUAUCGGCUUGUUGGGUGGGUAGUGGCUUACCAAGGCUUUGACGGGUAGCCGGCCUGGGAGGGUGAGCGGCCCAGCUAGGACGGGGAUACGACCCGGCCUCCAACGGGACGGGACGGUGGAGAAUAUAACACUAUGGGCGGAAGGCAGGUGCAGCAAAGCCACGUGGGGGAAGACGGCCAUCGGGUUGUGAUCCACUGUCGCCUGAGACGAGGCGAGAGUGACGGUAAUGGGUGAAGAAGCACCGGCUAACUACGUG
RNAcentral lists this ribosomal RNA (468 nucleotides) under uncultured bacterium. RNAcentral describes it as "partial 16S ribosomal RNA". It matches the Rfam family "Bacterial small subunit ribosomal RNA", at positions 28 to 507 of the family's 1533-position model. The record is from RNAcentral.